GAUGAACGCUGGCGGCGUGCCUAAUACAUGCAAGUCGAGCGAAUGGAUUAAGAGCUUGCUCUUAUGAAGUUAGCGGCGGACGGGUGAGUAACACGUGGGUAACCUGCCCAUAAGACUGGGAUAACUCCGGGAAACCGGGGCUAAUACCGGAUAACAUUUUGAACCGCAUGGUUCGAAAUUGAAAGGCGGCUUCGGCUGUCACUUAUGGAUGGACCCGCGUCGCAUUAACUAGUUGGUGAGGUAACGGCUCACCAAGGCAACGAUGCGUAGCCGACCUGAGAGGGUGAUCGGCCACACUGGGACUGAGACACGGCCCAGACUCCUACGGGAGGCAGCAGCAGGGAAUCUUCCGCAAUGGACGAAAGUCUGACGGAGCAACGCCGCGUGAGUGAUGAAGGCUUUCGGGUCGUAAAACUCUGUUGUUAGGGAAGAACAAGUGCUAGUUGAAUAAGCUGGCACCUUGACGGUACCUAACCAGAAAGCCACGGCUAACUACGUGCCAGCCGCCGCGGUAA
Molecule: ribosomal RNA, 515 nt
Filed under: uncultured bacterium
Lineage: Bacteria
Description: partial 16S ribosomal RNA
Rfam family: Bacterial small subunit ribosomal RNA
Source: RNAcentral